ACUUUAAAAAAUGUUUACUAAAUAUGCAUUGAAAGUACGUCAAUUUUUUAAUUAUUUCAAAAGCUGAAGCCAAGGAUAAACCACCAGCACCUGUUAAAAAAGAAGCUGAAGUUGCUGUCGAAAAAGCAAAACUUGCUCCUGUAAAGAAGGAGCCUGAGGUUCCCAAAGAGAAGGCCAAACCGGAGCCCUCAAAGAAAGGUAAAAAAGAGAAGGCAAAACCAGCUCUUUUGAGAUUCCAAAACCUGAACUAUAAUUUU
RNAcentral lists this long non-coding RNA (257 nucleotides) under Sinocyclocheilus grahami. RNAcentral describes it as "lncRNA (ENSSGRG00000031546.1)". The record is from RNAcentral. Lineage: Eukaryota; Metazoa; Chordata; Actinopteri; Cypriniformes; Cyprinidae.